This 35-nucleotide non-coding RNA is filed under the name unclassified sequences. Its description in RNAcentral is "DUF805b RNA". It matches the Rfam family "DUF805b RNA". Rfam says of the family: Bacteroidetes, Chlorobi (1 example), Proteobacteria. Lineage (Flavobacteria) The record is from RNAcentral.
AUGGAGGAAGCCGAAAAUCCUUUGAAGAGUAGGCG